Molecule: ribosomal RNA, 374 nt
Filed under: uncultured bacterium
Lineage: Bacteria
Description: bacterial SSU rRNA
Rfam family: Bacterial small subunit ribosomal RNA
Source: RNAcentral
UACCGGCCUGAAGGGUGACCGGCCACAUUGGGACUGAGAUACGGCCCAGACUCCUACGGGAGGCAGCAGUGGGGAAUAUUGCACAAUGGGUGGAAGCCUGAUGCAGCAACGCCGUGUGCGGGAUGACGGCCUUCGGGUUGUAAACCGCUUUCGCUCAUGACGAAGCUUUGUGUGCCGGUAGGGGGUAAAGAAGCACCGGCUAACUACGUGCCACCAGCCGCGGUGAUACGUAGGGGGCGAGCGUUGUCCGGAUUUAUUGGGCGUAAAGGGCUCGUAGGGGGUUGAUCGCGUCGGAAGUGUAAUCUUGGGGCUUAACCCUGAGCGUGCUUUUGAUACGGGUUGACUUGAGGAAGGUAGGGGAGACUGGAAUUCCU